CACGCUUCCUCUAGCACAACCACAGCUAUGCACCAAUCCUCCUGGGUUCAGAGAUGGAACUUGGGUUAAAUGCAUGGAAUUUAUUCUUAGUCCUUUUCUUAAUUACGACUUUUUAUUUCUCUGGUGUUCUCUAGGGGAGGGGUUAGAGAAGAGAGGAAAAGGAAGAAAGAAAGGGGGCAGGGAAAUAUAGAUUCAAUGCUUUUGUUUUGUUUCUGGGCUGCUUGCUAUCAGCAAAGUAGAGAGAUUUAACGGAUCUUGCCGAGAAUGCAAGCCUCAUUCCAAGGAAGCCAGAGCUCAGAAGACAUGGAACAAAUACAAUGAAAACAUAACUUGAGGUCGGAAAAUGUCCCCUGAAUAUUUAUGUCAAUGUCCUACCUUAGUGAAUAUUACUUAAUACUGUGGCUCCUUUAAAGCAUGUAAGUAGCUUGCAUUGUGAUUUCAUUAUGAAGUCAGAUGGAAUGAGGAGUGUGUAAAUCCAGAAUCAGAAUCCCAGCGACGAAGCUUUUCUUGCUCUGUUACCUUGGAAAAUGCUUUGAACCAGACCAGAUAAGAAAAGUAAAAGUCUGGAGUGUAAUCCUUCCAAUUGUCUUUUGGCUUCUCUUCUACUUCUACAAAAAGUUCAACAAGUCGGUGGGCAGAAGUCUAAAAUCAAGGUGUCAGCAGUGUGGAAUCCUUCUGGAGGCUUUGAGAAGAGGACACUGAAGCCAAAGGAGAAAAUUAACUAGCUCAGUCUUGCAUGACCCCUGUGAAUGGACUGAUCUUGAAACCCAG
Molecule: long non-coding RNA, 771 nt
Filed under: Homo sapiens (human)
Lineage: Eukaryota; Metazoa; Chordata; Mammalia; Primates; Hominidae
Description: HSALNT0154469
Source: RNAcentral